Ribosomal RNA from Scophthalmus maximus (turbot), 120 nucleotides. NCBI's taxonomy places the organism in Eukaryota, Metazoa, Chordata, Actinopteri, Pleuronectiformes, Scophthalmidae. The record is from Ensembl.
GCUUACGGCCACACCGCCUGGUUCACGCCCCGAUCUCGUUUGAUCUCAAAAUCUAAGAUAGGGUGGGCCUGGUUAGUACUUGGAUGGGAGACCGCCUGGGAAUACCAGGUGCUGUAAGCU